UGGUAGUAUUCAUAUGAGGAGCAC
Molecule: non-coding RNA, 24 nt
Filed under: Rattus norvegicus (Norway rat)
Lineage: Eukaryota; Metazoa; Chordata; Mammalia; Rodentia; Muridae
Source: RNAcentral